Molecule: transfer RNA, 73 nt
Filed under: Dipodomys ordii (Ord's kangaroo rat)
Lineage: Eukaryota; Metazoa; Chordata; Mammalia; Rodentia; Heteromyidae
Rfam family: tRNA
About the family: Transfer RNA (tRNA) molecules are approximately 80 nucleotides in length.
Source: Rfam by way of RNAcentral
GGGAGUAUGGCUCAAGUGGUAGAGUGCCUGCCUAGCAAGCUUGAAGCCUCGAGUUCAAACCUCAGUACUGCUA